Molecule: ribosomal RNA, 497 nt
Filed under: uncultured bacterium
Lineage: Bacteria
Description: partial 16S ribosomal RNA
Rfam family: Bacterial small subunit ribosomal RNA
Source: RNAcentral
GAUGAACGCUGGCGGCGUGCCUAAUACAUGCAAGUCGAGCGAACAGACGAGGAGCUUGCUCCUCUGACGUUAGCGGCGGACGGGUGAGUAACACGUGGAUAACCUACCUAUAAGACUGGGAUAACUUCGGGAAACCGGAGCUAAUACCGGAUAAUAUAUUGAACCGCAUGGUUCAAUAGUGAAAGACGGUUUUGCUGUCACUUAUAGAUGGAUCCGCGCCGCAUUAGCUAGUUGGUAAGGUAACGGCUUACCAAGGCAACGAUGCGUAGCCGACCUGAGAGGGUGAUCGGCCACACUGGAACUGAGACACGGUCCAGACUCCUACGGGAGGCAGCAGUAGGGAAUCUUCCGCAAUGGGCGCAAGCCUGACGGAGCAACGCCGAGUGAGUGAUGAAGGUCUUCGGAUAGUAAAACUCUGUUAUUAGGGAAGAACAAAUGUGUAAGUAACUAUGCAAGUCUUGACGGUACCUAAUCAGAAAGCCACGGCUAACUAAGUG